This 440-nucleotide ribosomal RNA is filed under the name uncultured bacterium. RNAcentral's name for it is "partial 16S ribosomal RNA". It matches the Rfam family "Bacterial small subunit ribosomal RNA", at positions 338 to 795 of the family's 1533-position model. The record is from RNAcentral.
CCUACGGGCGGCAGCAGUGGGGAAUAUUGCACAAUGGGGGAAACCCUGAUCCAGCGACGCCGCGUGAGUGAAGAAGUAAUUCGUUACGUAAAGCUCUAUCUGCAGGGAAGAAAAUGACGGUACCUGAGUAAGAAGCCCCGGCUAACUACGUGCCAGCAGCCGCGGUAAUACGUAGGGGGCCAGCGUUAUCCGGAUUUACUGGGUGUAAAGGGAGCGUAGACGGUGUGCCAAGUCUGGAGUGAAAUGCCGCGGCUUAACUGCGGAACUGCUUUGGAAACUGGCGAACUAGAGUGCGGGAGGGGUAGGCGGAAUUCCUAGUGUAGCGGUGAAAUGCGUAGAUAUUAGGAAGAACACCGGUGGCGAAGGCAGCUUACUGGACCGGAACUGACGUUGAGGCUCGAAAGCGUGGGGAGCAAACAGGAUUAGAUACCCGAGUAGUC